RNAcentral lists this long non-coding RNA (1366 nucleotides) under Malus domestica (apple). Its description in RNAcentral is "long non-coding RNA (MDOM_LNC014400)". The record is from RNAcentral. Lineage: Eukaryota; Viridiplantae; Streptophyta; Magnoliopsida; Rosales; Rosaceae.
UGGACUAAAUUGACAAGGUGUUGGCCUUGUUUUUAGACAGGGUAAUGGGCAAUGUCCACUCCGGUGGACUUGCUCUAAAUUCAAUAGAGAGAAAGAGGAGAGAGAAGGAAAUGAAAGAAAGAGGAGAUAGAAUAGAAGAGGAUAAGAAGAGAGAAGAUUAGAAGAACAAGUAUUAGGUGUGAGAGGAAACAUAAGAGAUUCAAGAUUCAAAUAAAAUAUCAAACAUGCCAUAAGGUUUAGAGCUUUUAUUAAUGGAUUGUGUUGUGGGAGAAGAGAGAGAAGAAAAGACGGUGAACAUGAGAAGUUGAAGACAUUAGUGGACAAAUUUGAUUGUCACGUCAGCAAAAAUAGAAUGCUAAAAUUUGUGACAUCAGUAUUUUAUUAACUUAAUCAAUUUUCUAACGAUUGUACGAUAUUAGACAAAAUCUUAAGCCAUUUUAUGAAAUUGAAAAAAUUAAAAGACAUUGUGUCAAUUUAAAAUUAAAUGUAAACCUAAAAGCAUUGUUAUUCUCAGCCUAACGCCGCAUAGGCCCUAGGCAACUAGUCACCACCCCGAUUAAUUCUCUAAGCGUUUAAAAAUUAAAAAAAUGAACCUAUAUCUACUUAGAUGCCCGCCUAGACCACCUAAGCCUCCGUCUAGGUUGCGACUCUCACUUACACAUAAAAUAGACAACUCUCAUUUUACAUUUUAUUUUCAAUAAAAUGUAAGAGACUUGUUGAAUACUUAUAUUAUGUUUGUUCUAUGUUUUCAUUAUAUUCUAAAAUUUUAUAUUUUAUAUGAUAUUUUAUUUUGCAAUAUAUGUAUCACAAUACAAUUGCGUAUUUUUUAAAUAUAAGUCUGCACUUACUUAUACAAUAUAUAUACUUAAAUCUGUCUAAUCUGCCUACGCUCUCACCUUGAUCCAUCUAGCCACCUAUGUGUUAGGUCUCAAUUCUAUGCCAAACUAGCACUAGUGUUUUUCAAAACAUUGCCUGAUAGAGUAAAAUAUGAUUUAGCUUAGUUUUUUAGGUUUUAUAUAUGGGUGUGGAGGUGGUCAUCUACUUUUUUAUCCUUUUGGAUGGUUGGACGUGCAAUUGAAUCUAAUCCAAUGUGUAGCAUGAUGACGAUGACGAGACGAUGACUCAGAAAUGCACUUUUCCAUAUUAAACAAUAGUUUCAGGUUCAAUCAUUAUACGUCGCUUCCCGCAUAUGAGGUGACCCCGUGAUAGUAAGUAAAUUCUUUUGGUAAUAAAUAUGGGCCUUUUCUGCGAAUAUUUUAUUUUAUUAUAAAAGAUUUUUUUUUUUUUUUUUGGGUCAAACGAAAAAUUUUAGACCAUCUCCAACCCUUGGGCUAAAAGCCAAAUUUUGUAGCCCGGAAAAUUUAGC